Molecule: transfer RNA, 77 nt
Filed under: Roseateles asaccharophilus
Lineage: Bacteria; Pseudomonadati; Pseudomonadota; Betaproteobacteria; Burkholderiales; Sphaerotilaceae
Description: tRNA-Arg
Rfam family: tRNA
About the family: Transfer RNA (tRNA) molecules are approximately 80 nucleotides in length. Their secondary structure includes four short double-helical elements and three loops (D, anti-codon, and T loops). Further hydrogen bonds mediate the characteristic L-shaped molecular structure. tRNAs have two regions of fundamental functional importance: the anti-codon, which is responsible for specific mRNA codon recognition, and the 3' end, to which the tRNAs corresponding amino acid is attached (by aminoacyl-tRNA synthetases). tRNAs cope with the degeneracy of the genetic code in two manners: having more than one tRNA (with a specific anti-codon) for a particular amino acid; and 'wobble' base-pairing, i.e. permitting non-standard base-pairing at the 3rd anti-codon position.
Source: RNAcentral
GUCUCGUUAGCUCAAUGGAAUAGAGCACUGGUCUACGAAGCCAGGGGUUGGAGGUUCGAGUCCUUCACGAGGCACCA